Molecule: long non-coding RNA, 528 nt
Filed under: Nicotiana benthamiana
Lineage: Eukaryota; Viridiplantae; Streptophyta; Magnoliopsida; Solanales; Solanaceae
Description: long non-coding RNA (NBEN_LNC040819)
Source: RNAcentral
ACAUUGAUGAGAUUUUCCAUGGCCUCAGCCAGAUAUUUUCUGAAGUGAAUAUGAUCCAGGCUAGUGAAGGCACUAAUCGUGCUGAUAUGCAACUAAUUGACCCAGACACCAUGCUCACCAACUGGGAAGCAACUCCUCUCCCUACAAGGAAUGAGUCUUGGUAGUUAUCUUUUGCAGCUUCUUUUUUGUAUUUCGGGUUACUUUUAGGGUUGUAAUCCAAACAUCUCAGUAUGAUUGUUUUGUUUUGAUAUUAACCCUUCUAUCCUUUCAAAUUCAAUGAAAUGCAGUUCAGUUUUCCAUUAAGUUUUCUAUCUUUUCCUCUUCCUAAUUCCAGUCACUGUAUUUCCAUUUCAGUUUUGUUAAUGUUGGCUUUAAUAACAUGACAUGUAUGUAAAAUUCACGCCCAGAUACUAAAAAGUUGUCUAAUAUCAUGAGUCUUGGUAGUUUGCUUUUGCAGUUCCUUUUUUGUAUUUUGAGUUACUUUUAGGGUUGUAAUCUAAACAUCUCAGCGUGAUUUUUUUGCUUUGA